AUGCUCAGCUCAGUCAUCCAGAUCCGUCCGUUAAGCCUCAGCCCCAGUGAUGACCAAGAAGUCUCUCGGGACCCUCCCCUAGGGCGGCUGAGAAUUUCCUCUUCGGCGCCAGGUGACACGCCCUGCACACACCUCUGGCUCAGUGCGCAUCACAGCAGCGAGAUCAGCCGCACACUCCUGCACCUCCCCCACCAGCUGCUUCAAGGCAAGGCUCUUUCUUCUUCCUUCUUUCCUUCCUUCCUUCCUUCCUUCCUUCCUUCCUUCCUUCCUUCCUUCCUUCCUUCCCUUCCUUCCUUCCCUUCUCUUUCCUUUGCCUCCUUCCCUCCCUCCCUUCCUUCCUUCCCUUCCCUUUCUUCCCUUCCUUCCUUCCCUCCCUUCCUUUCCUUCCUUCCUUUCUUUCCUUUCCUUCCUUCCUUCCUUCCCCUCCCUUCCUUUCCCUUUCCUUCCCUCCUUCCUUCCUUCCCUCCCUCCUUCCUUCUUUCCUUUCCUUCCUUCCUUCCCUUCCUUUCCCUUUCCUUCCCUCCUUCCUUCCUUCCCUCCCUCCUUCCUUCUUUCCUUUCCUUCCCUUCCUUCCCUCCCUCCUUCCUUCUUUCCUUUCCUUCCCUUCCUUCCCUUCCUUCCUUUCCUCCCUUCCUUCUUUCCUUCUUUUCCUUCCUUCCCUUUUCCUUCCUUUCUUUCUUCCUUUCCUUCCUUUCCUUUUCUUUCCUUUUCCUUCCUUCCUUCCUUCCCUCCUUCCUUCCCUCCUUCCUUCCUUCCUUUCUUCCUCCUGCCCCUACACAUACGUAUGUAUGUAUAUUAGUAUAUGUGUAUACAUACAGACAUGUUUGGGAUGGCGGUGUAAAACAAUACUUCAAGAUAUUUCUUAUGUUGCACUUUUAUUUUUAAAUUAAACUACAGUAUCAUGCCUAUUUACUUAAUUUGAUGUUGUGUUCUGGAAUUUAGCAUAGAGCCUGGCCCAAAGAAAGGACAAUAAAUAUUCGCUGAAAAAAAGCACAAAGCUUAACAAUUCUAUUUAUUUUACCCAACUGAACUUCCUUGUGUCAUGAAUUUUUAAUAAAUAGUUUAAAAUUAACAUGUUAAAUUAAGAGCAUGUUCCCUUAAAUAUUUUAAGUAAUUCCUCUGCCCCCUCUCUUUUUAAUUUGAG
This 1144-nucleotide long non-coding RNA is filed under the name Papio anubis (olive baboon). RNAcentral's name for it is "lncRNA (ENSPANG00000048073.1)". The record is from RNAcentral. Lineage: Eukaryota; Metazoa; Chordata; Mammalia; Primates; Cercopithecidae.